CAGUAGCCGCGGGAAUACGGAGGGUGCAAGCGUUAAUCGGAAUUACUGGGCGUAAAGCGCACGCAGGCGGUCUGACAAGUCAGAUGUGAAAUCCCCGGGCUUAACCUGGGAACUGCAUUUGAAACUGUCAGGCUGGAGUCUUGUAGAGGGGGGUGGAAUUCCAGGUGUAGCGGUGAAAUGCGUAGAGACCUGGAGGAAUACCGGUGGCGAAGGCGGCCCCCUGGACAAAGACUGACGCUCAGGUGCGAAAGCGUGGGGAGCAAACAGGAUUAGAUCCCCAGUAGUCCCUGUCUCUUAUACA
This 301-nucleotide ribosomal RNA is filed under the name uncultured bacterium. Its description in RNAcentral is "partial 16S ribosomal RNA". It matches the Rfam family "Bacterial small subunit ribosomal RNA", at positions 509 to 808 of the family's 1533-position model. The record is from RNAcentral.